CCCGCACAAGCGGUGGAGCAUGUGGUUUAAUUCGAGGCAACGCGAAGAACCUUACCUGGCCUUGACAUGCUGAGAACUUUCCAGAGAUGGAUUGGUGCCUUCGGGAACUCAGACACAGGUGCUGCAUGGCUGUCGUCAGCUCGUGUCGUGAGAUGUUGGGUUAAGUCCCGCAACGAGCGCAACCCUUGCCAUUAGUUGCUACGAAAGGGCACUCUAAUGGGACUGCCGGUGACAAACCGGAGGAAGGUGGGGAUGACGUCAAGUCCUCAUGGCCCUUAUAGGUGGGGCUACACACGUCAUACAAUGGCCGGUACAGAGGGUAGCCAACCCGCGAGGGGGAGCCAAUCCCACAAAGCCGGUCGUAGUCCGGAUCGCAGUCUGCAACUCGACUGCGUGAAGUCGGAAUCGCUAGUAAUCGCGGAUCAGCAUGUCGCGGUGAAUACGUUCCCGGGUCUU
RNAcentral lists this ribosomal RNA (456 nucleotides) under uncultured Pseudomonas sp. Its description in RNAcentral is "bacterial SSU rRNA". It matches the Rfam family "Bacterial small subunit ribosomal RNA", at positions 920 to 1382 of the family's 1533-position model. Lineage: Bacteria; Pseudomonadati; Pseudomonadota; Gammaproteobacteria; Pseudomonadales; Pseudomonadaceae. The record is from RNAcentral.